This 75-nucleotide transfer RNA is filed under the name Candidatus Azambacteria bacterium RIFCSPHIGHO2_01_FULL_51_74. RNAcentral describes it as "tRNA-Val". It matches the Rfam family "tRNA". From Rfam's summary of the family: Transfer RNA (tRNA) molecules are approximately 80 nucleotides in length. Their secondary structure includes four short double-helical elements and three loops (D, anti-codon, and T loops). Further hydrogen bonds mediate the characteristic L-shaped molecular structure. tRNAs have two regions of fundamental functional importance: the anti-codon, which is responsible for specific mRNA codon recognition, and the 3' end, to which the tRNAs corresponding amino acid is attached (by aminoacyl-tRNA synthetases). tRNAs cope with the degeneracy of the genetic code in two manners: having more than one tRNA (with a specific anti-codon) for a particular amino acid; and 'wobble' base-pairing, i.e. permitting non-standard base-pairing at the 3rd anti-codon position. RNAcentral also lists the same sequence under 2 other names. The record is from RNAcentral. Lineage: Bacteria; Candidatus Azamiibacteriota.
GCGCGUUUAGCUCAGUGGUAGAGCGUCACAUUGACAUUGUGAAGGCCGAAGGUUCAAUCCCUUCAACGCGCACCG